GACGAACGCUGGCGGCGUGCCUAAUACAUGCAAGUCGAACGAAGCUGUUUUAACUGGUGCUUGCACCGACUUAAACAACUGAGUGGCGAACGGGUGAGUAACACGUGGGUAACCUGCCCCAAAGCGGGGGAUAACAUUUGGAAACAGAUGCUAAUACCGCAUAACCACAGAAACCACAUGGUUUCUGUGUCAAAGAUGGUUUCGGCUAUCACUUUGGGAUGGACCCGCGGCGGAUUAGCGAAUUGGUAAGGUAAUGGCUUACCAAGGCAAUGAUAGGUAGCCGAACUGAGAGGUUGAUCGGCCACAUUGGGACUGAGACACGGCCCAAACUCCUACGGGAGGCAGCAGUAGGGAAUCUUCCACAAUGGACGAAAGUCUGAUGGAGCAACGCCGCGUGAGUGAAGAAGGUUUUCGGAUCGUAAAACUCUGUUGUCAGAGAAGAACGUGUGCGAGAGUAACUGCUCGUGCAGUGACGGUAUCUGGCCAGAAAGCCACGGCUAACUACGUGCCAGCCGCCGCGGUAA
This 524-nucleotide ribosomal RNA is filed under the name uncultured bacterium. RNAcentral's name for it is "partial 16S ribosomal RNA". It matches the Rfam family "Bacterial small subunit ribosomal RNA", at positions 28 to 523 of the family's 1533-position model. The record is from RNAcentral.